ACAUACCCUUUCCUGCGGAAUAGCUCCGGGAAACUGGAAUUAAUACCGCAUACGCCCUACGGGGGAAAGAUUUAUCGGGGAAGGAUUGGCCCGCGUUGGAUUAGCUAGUUGGUGGGGUAAAGGCCUACCAAGGCGACGAUCCAUAGCUGGUCUGAGAGGAUGAUCAGCCACAUUGGGACUGAGACACGGCCCAAACUCCUACGGGAGGCAGCAGUGGGGAAUAUUGGACAAUGGGCGCAAGCCUGAUCCAGCCAUGCCGCGUGAGUGAUGAAGGCCUUAGGGUUGUAAAGCUCUUUCACCGAUGAAGAUAAUGACGGUAGUCGGAGAAGAAGCCCCGGCUAACUUCGUGCCAGCAGCCGCGGUAAUACGAAGGGGGCUAGCGUUGUUCGGAAUUACUGGGCGUAAAGCGCACGUAGCGGAUAUUUAAGUC
Molecule: ribosomal RNA, 430 nt
Filed under: Agrobacterium tumefaciens
Lineage: Bacteria; Pseudomonadati; Pseudomonadota; Alphaproteobacteria; Hyphomicrobiales; Rhizobiaceae
Description: bacterial SSU rRNA
Rfam family: Bacterial small subunit ribosomal RNA
Source: RNAcentral